Molecule: ribosomal RNA, 497 nt
Filed under: uncultured bacterium
Lineage: Bacteria
Description: partial 16S ribosomal RNA
Rfam family: Bacterial small subunit ribosomal RNA
Source: RNAcentral
GAUGAACGCUGGCGGCGUGCCUAAUACAUGCAAGUCGAGCGAACGGACGAGAAGCUUGCUUCUCUGAUGUUAGCGGCGGACGGGUGAGUAACACGUGGAUAACCUACCUAUAAGACUGGGAUAACUUCGGGAAACCGUAGCUAAUACCGGAUAAUCUUUUGAACCACAUGGUUCAAAAGUGAAAGACGGUCUUGCUGUCACUUCUCGAUGGAUCCGCGCUGCAUUAGCUAGUUGGUAAGGUAACGGCUUACCACGGCAACGAUGCAUGGCCGACCUGAGAGGGUGAUCGGCCACACUGGAACUUAGACACGGUCCAGACUCCUACGGGAGGCAGCAGUAGGGAAUCUUCCGCAAUGGUCGAAAGCCUUACGGAGCAACGCCGCGUGAGUUAUGAAGGUCUUCCGAUCGUAAAACUCUGUUAUUAGGGAAGAACAUAUUUGUAAGUAACUGUGCACAUCUUGACGGUACCUAAUCAGAAAGCCACGGCUAACUACGUG